GAGCGCGCAGCACACGCGUGCGCGGACCAGCGGUGGCCUGCGUGUCUAGCGGUCGAACAUGUUUUCUCUGCGGCCUCUUGGCCAGUGUCGCCGAUUUGCGCACCGGCCGCC
This is a non-coding RNA of Caenorhabditis elegans, 111 nucleotides long. Lineage: Eukaryota; Metazoa; Nematoda; Chromadorea; Rhabditida; Rhabditidae. The record is from Ensembl.